Molecule: ribosomal RNA, 238 nt
Filed under: Escherichia coli
Lineage: Bacteria; Pseudomonadati; Pseudomonadota; Gammaproteobacteria; Enterobacterales; Enterobacteriaceae
Also listed under: 2 other names
Description: partial 16S ribosomal RNA
Rfam family: Bacterial small subunit ribosomal RNA
Source: RNAcentral
AAAUUGAAGAGUUUGAUCAUGGCUCAGAUUGAACGCUGGCGGCAGGCCUAACACAUGCAAGUCGAACGGUAACAGGAAACAGCUUGCUGUUUCGCUGACGAGUGGCGGACGGGUGAGUAAUGUCUGGGAAACUGCCUGAUGGAGGGGGAUAACUACUGGAAACGGUAGCUAAUACCGCAUAACGUCGCAAGACCAAAGAGGGGGACCUUCGGGCCUCUUGCCAUCGGAUGUGCCCAGA